AUUGAACGCUGGCGGCAGGCCUAACACAUGCACGUCGAGCGAGCGGCGGACGGGUGAGUAAUGUAUGGGGACUGCCCGAUAGAGGGGGAUAACUACUGGAAACGGUAGCUAAUACCGCAUACUAUCGGAUAACCCAUAUGGGAUUAGCUAGUAGGUGAGGUAAUGGCUCACCUAGGCGACGAUCCCUAGCUGGUCUGAGAGGAUGAUCAGCCACACUGGGAAUGAGACACGGCCCAAACUUCUACGGAGGCAGCAGUGGGGAAUAUUGCACAAUGGGCGCAAGCCUUAUGCAGCCAUGACGCGGGUAAGAAGAAGGCCCUAGGGUUGUAAAGUACUUGCAGUCGGGAGGCGUUAACGACAGAAGAAGCAACGGAUAACUCCGUGCCAGCAGCCGCGGUAAUAC
RNAcentral lists this ribosomal RNA (403 nucleotides) under uncultured bacterium. RNAcentral's name for it is "partial 16S ribosomal RNA". It matches the Rfam family "Bacterial small subunit ribosomal RNA", at positions 30 to 526 of the family's 1533-position model. The record is from RNAcentral.